Drosophila persimilis is the source of this 874-nucleotide long non-coding RNA. RefSeq lists it as uncharacterized. The record is from RefSeq and is a predicted model, not a curated record. The transcript is spliced from 3 exons. Lineage: Eukaryota; Metazoa; Arthropoda; Insecta; Diptera; Drosophilidae.
UGAGCAGGACACAAACCGCGGGACCUGCCACUGAAUAGAGAGCGAACAGGCCCUGAAGCAGGCACCACAGUAGCAGUAGCAGUAGAACCACCAGCAGCAGCAGUACCACCAGCAGCGUCACCAGCAACAGCAUCGCCAGCACCAGCAGGAUCGGCACAAACCCAAGACGAACCUACCUGCAAUGUUUCCCAACAAAAAAAACAACAACGAAAAAAACAACUUUCCGGAGAAAAGCAACAAAUCCAGUAGUCAGUAAUAUGAAUGAAUGAAGAAUUCCUUUGAAGAAAAACAGCUUCCGAGAGCAGGUGUCGGAACAAAAACGUUAACUAAAAGGAAAACUAAAAUUGAAGCUAACACACACACACACGCAUACGCUACCGCGUACCUGUCCGUAAUAGAAGUACAAGAAUAUAAUUCAAUAUAACAAAAUAUAACUUUUAGAGAAGAGACCUUUAACAGAACAAGGAAUCCAAGGGCAUUCCCCCACUCGAAUCACUUGAAAUCAGAGCUGCAGGAGGACGCAACGCAAAUAAUAACAACAGUUUUGAAUUAUGGCCAAAAGUUAAUUAAAAGCACAAAAAAUACGGCACAUAAGUGAGGCUUAAACCAGGGAAAGCGGGAGCCAUAAAUCAAUCAUAACAAGAGAGAGCGACAAAGACAAAGAGCGCCAAAAAAAGACAGAGAGAGAGAGAGCCAAAAUAUGUAGAGGCUGCAUUGAAUGUGUGUGCAAAAAUCCAAUCGCAAUGUCAAUGCCUACUAUUUACAUGGCCAAUGAAAAAUGGCCAUCAAAUUGAAAGGCAUAACGAGCAAAGCGAACACACAGCACAACAAUAUGGCCCAAAGCCACGAGCAACAGCAACAAGCAGCAGCAGAA